AAAACUUAGGUACAAUUCUUUAGAUACUUUUUGUGUGGUUCUUAACUAAAAAUACAUCUUUUUUGGAGUAACAAACUUUAAGAAAAUUAUGGAUUUAAAGAAAUCAUGAUGAAUUUAGUUAAGAACCAUACGAAAAGCACAUAAGGAAUUGUACGUAAGUUUU
Molecule: microRNA precursor, 163 nt
Filed under: Medicago truncatula (barrel medic)
Lineage: Eukaryota; Viridiplantae; Streptophyta; Magnoliopsida; Fabales; Fabaceae
Description: MIR2606 microRNA precursor family
Rfam family: MIR2606 microRNA precursor family
Source: Rfam by way of RNAcentral